Long non-coding RNA from Helianthus annuus (common sunflower), 654 nucleotides. RefSeq lists it as uncharacterized. Lineage: Eukaryota; Viridiplantae; Streptophyta; Magnoliopsida; Asterales; Asteraceae. The transcript is spliced from 4 exons. The record is from RefSeq and is a predicted model, not a curated record.
GGUCACCGGCCUCCGGCGCGAAGCCGGUGAACCAUGAUGGCAACAGUGACGGCGUCGUGGCUCGAAGUCGAAAUAGAGACGGCGGGGCUUUAUCUGCCAUUCCGGCCGCAGUGUUGCGGAAUUUAUCAGAUAAGUUGUAUGAGAAGAGGAACAAUGUUGCGCUUGAGGUUGAAGGAAUUGUGAAGAAUUUGACCGCGGCUGGAGAUCAUGAUAAGAUUACUGCUGUGAUUAAAUUGUUGACUCAUGAGUAUACAUACUCGCCUCAGGCGAAUCACCGCAAGGGAGGGUUGAUUGGCUUGGCUGCAGCUACUGUUGGAUUGAGUUCUGAAGCUGUGCAACAUCUCGAGGCGUACUUUUAGCACGUGGUGAAGAAUACUGGAGCGCUUAUACUUCUUGACAAGGGACACCAGAUGGGGCACAUUACUAAAGUAGAGAUGUCUUUUAAGGUACACAAGCUUAAACAUGGGCUUCCUUUAGUUUGUAGUUAGGUUGGUGUUUAUUUUUUAAUUCUAAUUGUGAGUGCAGUUUCUAGGGUCAAAUUUCUCUACUUGUAAAACUUUAACAAAGCUAUCAUACGGUCCCUAGACUUUCGUCAUCACACGUUUUAAAUAUGCUUGAUCUACCGCGCAACGCGCGGUUGGGGAACAACUAGUU